RNAcentral lists this small RNA (114 nucleotides) under Oceanobacillus oncorhynchi. RNAcentral's name for it is "BsrF". It matches the Rfam family "BsrF". The record is from Rfam by way of RNAcentral. Lineage: Bacteria; Bacillati; Bacillota; Bacilli; Caryophanales; Bacillaceae.
GCGAUGAGCUGAUUUGCGUAAGCCGAGAGACAACGUACGAUAUGCAGAUGUGAACUGCAUGUUCUUUCGCCGCAAAUUUCGAAAAGAAAGGCAUCCGUAUCUCAUACGGAUGCC